This 436-nucleotide ribosomal RNA is filed under the name Fusarium solani. RNAcentral describes it as "eukaryotic LSU rRNA". The stretch from base 62 to 215 matches the Rfam family "5.8S ribosomal RNA". Lineage: Eukaryota; Fungi; Ascomycota; Sordariomycetes; Hypocreales; Nectriaceae. The record is from RNAcentral.
CCAGAGGACCCCUAACUCUGUUUUUAUAAUGUUUUUCUGAGUAAACAAGCAAAUAAAUUAAAACUUUCAACAACGGAUCUCUUGGCUCUGGCAUCGAUGAAGAACGCAGCGAAAUGCGAUAAGUAAUGUGAAUUGCAGAAUUCAGUGAAUCAUCGAAUCUUUGAACGCACAUUGCGCCCGCCAGUAUUCUGGCGGGCAUGCCUGUUCGAGCGUCAUUACAACCCUCAGGCCCCCGGGCCUGGCGUUGGGGAUCGGCAGAAGCCCCCUGUGGGCACACGCCGUCCCUCAAAUACAGUGGCGGUCCCGCCGCAGCUUCCAUUGCGUAGUAGCUAACACCUCGCAACUGGAGAGCGGCGCGGCCAUGCCGUAAAACACCCAACUUCUGAAUGUUGACCUCGAAUCAGGUAGGAAUACCCGCCUGAACUUAAGCAUAUCA